GACAGAGGGUGCGAGCGUUGUUCGGAAUUACUGGGCGUAAAGGGCGCGUAGGCGGUCUGUUAAGUUCGGUGUGAAAGCCCUCGGCUCACCCGAGGAAGUGCGCCGGAUACUGGCAGACUUGAGUACCGGAGAGGAGGGUGGAAUUCCUGGUGUAGCGGUGAAAUGCGUAGAUAUCAGGAGGAACACCGGUGGCGAAGGCGGCCCUCUGGACGAGUACUGACGCUGAGGCGCGAAAGCGUGGGGAUCAAACAGG
Molecule: ribosomal RNA, 253 nt
Filed under: uncultured bacterium
Lineage: Bacteria
Description: partial 16S ribosomal RNA
Rfam family: Bacterial small subunit ribosomal RNA
Source: RNAcentral